UACGGGGGGGGCAAGCGUUGUUCGGAAUCACUGGGCGUAAAGGGCUCGUAGGUGGCCAACUAAGUCAGCCGUGAAAUCCCUCGGCUUAACCGGGGAACUGCAUCUGAUACUGGAUGGCUUGAGAUUGGGAGAGGGAUGCGGAAUUCCAGGUGUAGCGGUGAAAUGCGUAGAUAUCUGGAGGAACACCGGUGGCGAAGGCGACAUCCUGGACCGGUAUUGACGCUGAGGCGCGAAAGCCAGGGGAGUAAACGGG
Molecule: ribosomal RNA, 253 nt
Filed under: uncultured bacterium
Lineage: Bacteria
Description: partial 16S ribosomal RNA
Rfam family: Bacterial small subunit ribosomal RNA
Source: RNAcentral